Molecule: long non-coding RNA, 2391 nt
Filed under: Aquilegia coerulea
Lineage: Eukaryota; Viridiplantae; Streptophyta; Magnoliopsida; Ranunculales; Ranunculaceae
Description: long non-coding RNA (ACOE_LNC001924)
Source: RNAcentral
GUUUUCUUGGGCAGUGAUGAGUCUAGAUACAUAAGUGGGAUCAACCUUGUUAUCGAUGGUGGCUAUAGCACAACUAGUCCAGCUUUGAAAAUGCCUAUGAAAGCCUAUUUCAACUAUAGCUAGUAACCUAUGGAAAAUGUGAGGUUCGAUCUCAUGGACUAAAUAGUUUUAUUAUAAUAGUUAUAGUGUAUUGUAUUUUAGCUCACGCAAUAAGUCUGUGUUGGUCAGAAAUGUGCAUAUAUGUUUCACUGUUUUGUUUGAUUUUAAGGAAAUUGUGAGUAGGAACAUCGGACCCUAUACAAAUGAUAUGGCAGAAUGGCUCAACCUCAGAGCUGGACUCUCCCUGAUCAAGCAGCUGAACAUAUCUAAUGUAAUCAUAGAGUCAGACUCCUCUUUUGUUGUAAAUACAGUUAAUGUAGGAGGUAAUGUGGUGAAAGAUUGUAAAUCUUUACUACAAGUAUGUAAUGUUAGAGUGAGAUAUGUGUGUAGACAGGCCAAUAUGGUGGCAAACUUGCUAGCAAAGACAGGUUUAAAAGGAAGUGAUACACCCCCUGGUUUAUGUCUGUGGACCAUGAGUUAGGCCUUGUCCUGUAUUUAGAUUAUGUAUCCUAGAAGAAGGUAAUGUACUCCUACUUUUGAAUAAUAAAAUAGUUUGGUUGUUCCAAAAAAAAAAAAGUAAAUUGUGACUAGGCAAUUUUUUUUGGUAAGAUACACUUUUCAGAGCCCAUUUGGCCUCUGAUCACCCUGCAAAAAGGGGUAUAUACUGUGUUGAAAAAUUGCGAGCUUAUAUGCCGAUAUAGAUCUGCUAAUAUCACAAAUUUUAUAUGGUUUUACUCUUGACCUCUACAAAUCUAUGAAAAAAACUCAAAACCAUUUUUUUUUUUUUUUUUAAAAGAUGGGAUUGUUUGAUGAGGGUAAUAUUUGUGGAGAUUGGGUAAGGGGCAACGAGAGAGUACCACCCAAUUUUUUUUUUUGUUUUUUUUUUUUUUUUUUUUUGUUAUCAAAAUCAAAUUUUAUUGAUAAGCUCAACGAAUUACACAAAAGUAGAGGACAAACGCGCUACAAACUGCGCGGCAAGUCCUUUCUGGAUAGCAAACCCGAUAAUUUUAGUGGAUCUUUUACAAAUCCAAUGCCUGUCCCAUAACAUCGAUCCAAGCAGAUAUCGAGACUGGGGGCAAAUUUGGAAAAUAAAAAACCCCAUAAGUCCAUGACCACAAAGUCUUCUUUCUUUCUUAUUUUCAUUUUGGAUCUGAGCUGCCUGCUGCUCCAACUAAAAAAACUGAGAGAAGUUUCUUGUGCAAGUUAUAUUUUCGUUUGUUUAGAGAUCAAAGAAAGAGAUGAGUUUGACUUCAUUUCAAGCUGCACGACUUGCGAAAAGGUAUGGAUCCCAAAUCCCAAACUUCCUCAACCUGUAGCUUACUAGCUAACAGUUCUUUUUAUGAUUAUGUAGGCUAGAAGGUAAAGUGGCACUAAUAACGGGUGGAGCGAGUGGUAUUGGUGCUAGCACGGCAAAAUUGUUUGCUAAAAAUGGCGCGAAGGUUGUUAUUGCUGAUAUUCAAGACGAUCUAGGAAGUUCGAUUUGUAAAGAAGUUGAAAACAUUAAGUACAUCCAUUGCGAUGUGACUCAAGAAAAUGAUGUCAAACAUGCUGUUGAUACAACUAUGAGUGAUUAUGGACAACUCGAUGUUAUGUUCAACAAUGCAGGUGUUCCAGCUCCAAGAAGUGCACUUCAGAUCUUAACUUCGGAUAUCCAAGAUUUUAAGAAAGUCUUUGAUGUAAAUGUCUGUGGUGGAUUUUUAGGUGCAAAACAUGCUGCAAGGGUAAUGAUACCUGUGAAAAAAGGAAGUAUUAUUUUUACAUCGAGCGGUGUUUCAGUCACUACAGGUGAUGCACCACACUCUUACACUGCAUCAAAGCAUGCUGUGGUAGGAUUAGCGAAGAAUCUGUGUACCGAGCUAGGACAGUAUGGGAUUAGAGUUAAUUGUAUUUCUCCAUAUCUGGUUGCUACUCCAAUGCUGACUAAUGCAAUGGGAAUAGAUGAAACUAAGGUUGAAGAGAUUAUGUCUGAAGCUGCCAACUUAAAAGGAAUGGUUGUCAAGACAGAGGAUAUUGCUGAGGCAGCUGUUUUUUUGGGCAGUGAUGCGUCAAGAUACAUAAGUGGGAUCAACCUUGUUAUCGAUGGUGGCUAUAGCAUAACUACUCCGGCAUUGAAAAUGGCAAUGAAAGCCCAUUUCGGUGAUCACUAGCUAGGUGAAUAAAUAUGAAUGUAAUCUUUGCUCUUUUGUUUGAUUUUAACGAAAUUUAUCUGUUCAGACACUCCACAAAUUUUAGUAACAUACACCUUUCGAAGCCUUUUUGGCCGUUGAUGAACCUGCAAACCGAUGAGAUGUU